CCCGCUCAGAAACUCAAAGGAAUUGACGGGGCCCGCACAAGCGGAGGAGCAUGUGGUUUAAUUCGAUGAUACGCGAGGAACCUUACCUGGGCUCGAACGUAAGAUGACUGUAGGUGAAAGCUUACAUCUCUUCGGAGCAUUUUACGAGGUGCUGCAUGGUUGUCGUCAGCUCGUGCCGUGAGGUGUCGGGUUAAGUCCCAUAACGAGCGCAACCCCUACCUUUAGUUGCCAUCAGGUAAUGCUGGGGACUCUAAAGGAACUGCCUACGCAAGUAGUGAGGAAGGCGGGGAUGACGUCAAAUCAGCACGGCCCUUACGUCCAGGGCUACACACGUGCUACAAUGGCCGAUACAGAGGGCAGCUACCUGGUGACAGGAUGCAAAUCUCCAAAGUCGGUCUCAGUUCGGAUCGGAGUCUGCAACCCGACUCCGUGAAGUUGGAUUCGCUAGUAAUCGCGCAUCAGCCAUGGCGCGGUGAAUACGUUCCCGGGCCUU
This 493-nucleotide ribosomal RNA is filed under the name uncultured Sphingobacteriales bacterium. RNAcentral's name for it is "bacterial SSU rRNA". It matches the Rfam family "Bacterial small subunit ribosomal RNA", at positions 888 to 1382 of the family's 1533-position model. The record is from RNAcentral. Lineage: Bacteria; Pseudomonadati; Bacteroidota; Sphingobacteriia; Sphingobacteriales.